CGAUGGGGUCCCGGUGGGCGUCGGGGUCGCGCUCCGGCUCGCUCCUAUUGUCACUCUCAGCGGGCUCCGGCCAUGGCACUCGCUCGCACACACACACACACUCCCUCGCUCACUCACAACCGAGCGUGCUGCCACCGCCCCCCGCCCGCGGCCCGCCCUUCGCUCCCGCCCACCCGAGCGCCGCCGCCGGGACGCGCCGCCUCAUUGGCGCCCGCCGCUGCCGCCGGGACAGCCGGGAAAGGAAGGGGAGCGCGGCCGGAGGAGGAGCGGGUGGCGGCGGCGGCACCUCGGCGCUAUGGCUGCGGCACUUCUCGCCCCUCCGCGGGCCGGGCGGGAGCGAGACAUCAUCGGCUGAGGUACUGAGCGCACAAACCUUGAAAACGACUGGUCCUGCGAAGGAUGCCCACUUCUUGCCCACUUGCUUGCUCCCCAGAGACGUGAGCUGAUGUAACAGAGGAGUUAGGACUCAGGCGGAUGUAGUUGAGAGCGAUUGGAGCUGUUGGGAAAACACUUUCAGAAUCGCUGAUUUCCAGCCAGCACAGUCAUACUUCUUCAGCAUCUCUGUUGAGUUUUGCUAACUCAGCGAAGGCAUCCCUGAACCAUCUUGCCUGCACCACUAAGUCACGUCCUUAUGUUUGUAGACUUCCCUUGCCACGUGGGCAGCUGGACAGCAGUACAGCCAGAAGGACUACAAAAGUUGGGUAACUCUUCUGCCUUUUCAAAAAACUAGUUCAUGCACAAGAGUGCUUGGGUAAAUAUGCCAUGAAUGUUAUCAGUGGUCACAUGUGGCAUCAAAACCUGUUAUUCCCUACACAGAAACUUGUAUUCAAGUGUGAGCCAAGUCAAUAGAUAAGACAUUUCUACAGAUAUUUGCUGCGUUGAGGAGGAAAAGGCCAUAUGUACAGCCUUACAAAUUUUAAGUGGGAGAGAAACUUUGUAUGAAAGUGCUAAUCAUAACCAGAGCUUCACACACGUGCUGUGAGAAGCCCAUAGUAAACACACGCAACCUCUCACGCUUUUACUCCAUAUUCAUGCACAGAUCCUACAAUGUAUGUAUUGCCUACACCUAGCUCUUUUCUCUCUCCAGUUAAUUUCUGAGUACUGUGCAUGCUUUACACUACACUGAAAUCUGUUCCAGCCAGUCAGAGGCUGCGGUGCUGCUACAAAGGAUGAAAGCAAGGUCAAGCUAAUCAAGCCUUCGAAGAGGGUAGUAACCCACGUGGCUAUUAAAGAAGGUUACAGUAGGCUCAAACUUGUCAGGAGAGAAAUACAAACAGCUCCUUACGAGCGUAAAUAAGGCAGAUUCAAAUGUGUUUAAUUGUGCGUGCCUGUCUCAAAAUCUGGCUCAUCGUUCUUCUUUCUAUUUCUCACUCAGGGUCACCAGUGCCUGAAAACACUGAUAUGCCAAGGAAGCCAAUUCCCUGUGGGAGCAUGACUCUGCUCCACACACAGAAAUUUCCCCUUCUGUCACUUGGCAUGGUUCAGUAUGUGACUUGCUAAUUCAAAAUAUAAACAACAGAGAGGAACUAGGGCCAAUAGUUGAAGAGCUGCAAGCAGAAUUCUCAGUCCUUCCCAGUAAGUGAAUGGUACCUCCCCUCUGGAACUAUCACCCAUUUCUCUGUUCUUUUUAGCUUAACCAGAACUAUAUCCUUGGAACUUAGGAGGAAAUGGGAAAAAUGCCAUACUCGAACACACAUGGAUUAGACUGAAAAAAACAAACCGCUCAAUGUCUGCAGUGCAUGAUACAUAAUUUAGCAGGCAAGUUUCUCUCAUCCUAUAGUUCUUUUGUUCCCAUGAAUUGCUUAUUUCCCUUCUUUCUCUGCAUCGUUUUCUCCCAUAACUUUGUUGUUCUUUAACACCUUUUAAUUAUAGUGUGAAAUACAUAAGCAUGUAUUUAAAUAUAUCUCAGUUCCUGCUGCUCUCAUCUCUGUUACAAACGUGAUUUAAAAACCUCACACAUAUUUAUGCACCAUUCAUCAGGCUUCUGAGGAGGAAAAAACUUUCCAGUAUGCCUUCCUUUACAAGUUUUCCUUCAUUUCCAUGUGUCAGGGUGCACGAGGCUGCUGCAGCUUUGCAGGCUUUUCCUGAAAAUGGAUAAGAGAAUGAAACAUCCAAGUUAAACAAAUGGAAAUUACACCAGGAGUGCAGACAGACAUCUUCUGAAAGCCAAACUCGGGACGUUACCUUUCCUUCAGUUCUUUAUCUAACCCAGUGAGUGCCGACUCUCUCCCAGCAUGGCAGUGAACUUCAGCAGGAGGCAGUGAUGAUGUCUUAGCACCAGUUGCCAUAGUAAUGGUGUAUCUUCUUUCCCCUCCUGCAGCAGGAUGGAGCACCUGGUUCUGCUUUGGAGCUGCUUGAUCCUUUGGCUCUGUCCUUUGUUCAAAAGAGCUCGUCUGCACUUUUAUUAAAAAAAAAACUCAAGAAUUAAGACAAAGACCCUAAUCCAGUGUGACUUUUCACAUACAGAACUGUGCCUGGAGCAUGGACCACAUCCGCGCGGUUCUGAAACAACGCAGCGCUGCUCACAGCUCACGUUUCACUUCAGAGCCAAACUUGGAAAGCUAGCACUUGCAUUUUAAGGGAGCUGGUUUCAUCUUUUAAGUGUUUGAAUUUGAAGUUCAAAGUUAAUGUUUCAAAUUAAGGAAAGCUGGUAAUUUAUGGUAAUACAGAGGGCAUGAUGCCUUUAAUAGAAUUAUUAAACUGAA
This is a long non-coding RNA of Numida meleagris (helmeted guineafowl), 2705 nucleotides long. RefSeq lists it as uncharacterized. Lineage: Eukaryota; Metazoa; Chordata; Aves; Galliformes; Numididae. The record is from RefSeq and is a predicted model, not a curated record. The transcript is spliced from 3 exons.